GCCUCCUGCGUGGAAAAGAGAAGGAAGCCCGAGGUGGUGGCGCUGCGUCUCUCAGUUGCAGUGUGAGGUAUGAGACACCACACCUAGCCCUGAAGCUGCUCUUGGUUGGGGGUCAUCCCACACCUAAGAAAGAAAGAUGAUGGCUCUAAAGAAGAUGAAAAAGUCAUUGGUGUCAAUCAACUCUAGGCUCCAACUCAUUAUGAAAGGCAGAAAGUAGGCUGGGCACCGUGGCUCACGCCUGUAAUCCCAGCACUUUGGGAGGCCGAGGCAGGUGGAUCAUGAGGUCAAGAGAUCGAAACCAUCCUGGCCAAUGUGGUGAAACACCAUCUCCACUAAAAAUACAAAAAUAAGCUGGGCGGGGUGGUGCGCAACUGUAGUCUCAGCUACUUGGGAGGCUGAGGCAGGAGAAUGGCUUGAACCCGGGAGGUGGAGAUUGUAGUGAGUCGAGAUCGCGCCACUGCACUCCAGCCUGGCAACAGAGCGAGACUCCAUGUCAAAAACAAAAACAAAAACAAAGAAAGUGUAAAGUAUGUGCUGGGGUACAAGCAAACUCCAAAGGUGAUCAGACAAGGCAAAGUGAAAUUGAUUAUGCUCACCAACAACUGCCCCACUUUGAGGAAAUCCAAAAUAGGAUACUGUGCCAUGUUGGCCAAAAGUGGUGUUCAUUACUACAGUGGCAAUAAUAUUGAAUUGGACACAAUGUGCAGAAAAUACUGCAGAGUAUGUGCACACUGAUCCAGGUGAUUCUGAUAUCAUUAGAGGCAUGCCAAACAGAUUGGUGAAAAGUAAAUGAUGCAAAAUGUUUCUUUUAC
Homo sapiens (human) is the source of this 812-nucleotide long non-coding RNA. The record is from Ensembl. Lineage: Eukaryota; Metazoa; Chordata; Mammalia; Primates; Hominidae.